UAGUCUGGGAUACCACUUGGAAACAGGUGCUAAUACCGGAUAAGAAAGCGGAUCGCAUGAUCAGCUUUUAAAAGGCGGCGUAAGCUGUCGCUAUGGGAUGGCCCCGCGGUGCAUUAGCUAGUUGGUAAGGUAAAGGCUUACCAAGGCGAUGAUGCAUAGCCGAGUUGAGAGACUGAUCGGCCACAUUGGGACUGAAACACGGCCCAAACUCCUACGGGAGGCAGCAGGA
RNAcentral lists this ribosomal RNA (229 nucleotides) under uncultured Lactobacillus sp. Its description in RNAcentral is "partial 16S ribosomal RNA". It matches the Rfam family "Bacterial small subunit ribosomal RNA", at positions 134 to 354 of the family's 1533-position model. The record is from RNAcentral. Lineage: Bacteria; Bacillati; Bacillota; Bacilli; Lactobacillales; Lactobacillaceae.